UUAGUUAAGUCGGACCCUUCAUUUUCAUACAGUCAUGUCAAAAAAAUAUUGCCCUUAUAGAUAUCACAACAAAGUAAUAUUUUAAAAAUAUGUUGUAAGCAUCUAAUAUGCACUAAGAUAAUCCCACAUCAAUCUCCGUAGCAAGCCUUGUGGAUCUCACAACAAACCUACUAUGAUUUCUGACAGGAUAUUGGCUUAUGAAGGAAGGUAUCAGUAGUAUAAUAAACAUUAAGCAACCCAAAUUCAAGAUUUAGGCUAACUCAAUUAGCCAAAAAAGUGUUAAGAUUGGUGGGGUCCCCCAUUGCUUUCCUUAGACACCAAUAAAUUGCUCAGGUCAGUAAAUGAAAUCAAUUAAAUAACCACUGUACUUGAAAUACUUUUUAGAUACCAAUUGAUUAAUCGAUUCAAGAAAUUGCUCAGCUUCUGGUUCAUGAUACUACGACUUAAUAUAAUUUUUAAAAGGGCUUUAAUGGUCUUAUAUACAUCCUAACUUAACCAAUCAUAAUGAUAUACUAUUAUAAUUGUAUCAUAACAACUAAUCAUUAAACAAAUGCAUCUAAUCAUAUCUCUAAGAUAUAUUAACAUGAUCAUAAUCAUAACAUCAUGCAUCUAAAUAUAUCUCUAAGAUAUACUAACAUGAUCAUAAUCAUAACAUCAUGCACCUAAACAUAUCUCUAAGAUAUGUUAGGGUUUCGAUGUUCAAUUGGGUUCAACUGAUGAUCCAACUUGAACCAAACCAAAAAUUCUAGCUUGACCACAAUCAAGAGUACAUUCCAAUCUUUAAUUAUAUAAAUCAAGAUAGGCUUUGAUACUAUUGUUGGAUUUUGGUGGUGCAGUAGAAGGUCUAGAUAUUUAAAAUUUUCAUUCAAAACACUCAAACACACUAAAACCUUAGAACCCAGAAUCCCUUAACUAUAGGAAUCAAAGCAUAAUUAAAUUAAAUAUGGACAAGAGGAAUACCUGUAAUGCUUAAUCCAAUUUUCACUAGGUACCUAAGUUUUCAUCCUCCAAUGAUGAUCCACAUAAAAAUUGAUUCAAGAAU
This 1042-nucleotide long non-coding RNA is filed under the name Elaeis guineensis (African oil palm). Its description in RNAcentral is "long non-coding RNA (EGUI_LNC058885)". Lineage: Eukaryota; Viridiplantae; Streptophyta; Magnoliopsida; Arecales; Arecaceae. The record is from RNAcentral.